CCGGAACUCGCGGGACAGAUGAAUGCACACUGAAGGAGCACGAAUAGCACUGCUCGUCCUGUUUUAGGUUUCGUAGAUGUUUGACUCGACCUGCUUUGUAUUAUACCGACGAUGGACCGCAAACGGAGCAAGGCACAGGCCGAGGCUAUGGCUGCAGAUCUCAGUGACGUCACUUCAAUGAAUCUGCUUGGCGUCGCCGAUGUAAAUCAGUGGAUAGAACUUGUGAAAGAUUACUCGGUGGCUGGAGAUCACACACAUGUCCUCUCUGAAUCUGAAGAUGGUGACGGUGAUGACGAUUAUGACAUGGAUCACUCAGUUAUCACAGAUGAAGUUGAGAUGAUUAUGAUUAGAGUGCGCAACGCGAUGGAACCGGGUUAUGACAAGGAGAUGGACAAAAUCCGUCAAUUUGAUUGCAAAUGCGGAGAGGGGCGGAAGGAAGACAACGAAGGAUCGUGCACAAAAAAGUUGUACCCAGACCGCAUCUACAAAUACAGGCGUAAUAUGGCAUCCUUAACACAGAGGUUGAGAGACAUUGCCAUUCUCGGAGUAUUAAAUACCAUCGCACCUAUACUUACCGUAGGUGCGAAGCCCCAGUGUUCCAAGACAGGUGAGCAGACUCAACGGAACCCCCAAACACUUCCAUACCUGGUUGGAGGUGUUCCAGUCUGCGAGGAAUCAUUUCUAUUCAUAUAUGGCAUCAGCAGAGAGCGUCUAAUAUUCCUCCACCGAUCCUACCAGGAGAACGGUACAAAGCCACCCACCUCACCAACUACCACUGGUCGUCCACAUAAUCCUGUAGCCCCUGCGGCUGCCACUGUCCGGCCACGCAAGCCCCGUGCUACUGCGAAGAAGAAAUAGCAAGUCUUGACCAGCAAAUGCAUAUGCUGGUUAGAUGACUGGAUGUCUGGACCACAUUUUCCCCCAGCCUGCAGUACCCAGCCAGACACUCUAGAGGGCAACACCGCUCACAGAUUCAGGCGUGGAACUACCGCAACAUCUCCC
Molecule: long non-coding RNA, 1002 nt
Filed under: Salmo salar (Atlantic salmon)
Lineage: Eukaryota; Metazoa; Chordata; Actinopteri; Salmoniformes; Salmonidae
Description: lncRNA (ENSSSAG00000105899.1)
Source: RNAcentral